GAUAAACGCUGGCGGCGCACAUAAGACAUGCAAGUCGAACGGACUUAACUCAUUCUUUUAGAUUGAGAGCGGUUAGUGGCGGACUGGUGAGUAACACGUAAGCAACCUGCCUAUCAGAGGGGAAUAACAGUGAGAAAUCAUUGCUAUUACCGCAUAAGCUAGUAGUAUCGCAUGAUAUAGCUAGAAAAGGAGCAAUCCGCUGAUAGAUGGGCUUGCGUCUGAUUAGCUAGUUGGUGGGGUAACGGCCUACCAAGGCGACGAUCAGUAGCCGGACUGAGAGGUUGAACGGCCACAUUGGGACUGAGAUACGGCCCAGACUCCUACGGGAGGCAGCAGUCGGGAAUAUUGCGCAAUGGAGGAAACUCUGACGCAGUGACGCCGCGUAUAGGAAGAAGGUUUUCGGAUUGUAAACUAUUGUCGUGAGGGAAGAAAUUGACAGUACCUCAGGAGGAAGCUCCGGCUAACUAUGUGCCAGCAGCCGCGGUAAUACAUAGGGAGCAAGCGUUAUCCGGAUUUAUUGGGUGUAAAGGGUGCGUAGACGGGAAAUUAAGUUAGUUGUGAAAUCCCUCGGCUUAACUGAAGAACUGCAACUAAAACUGAUUUUCUUGAGUACUGGAGAGGAAAGUGGAAUUCCUAGUGUAGCGGUGAAAUGCGUAGAUAUUAGGAGGAACACCAGUGGCGAAGGCGACUUUCUGGACAGUAACUGACGUUGAGGCACGAAAGUGUGGGGAGCAAACAGAGUUAGAUACCCUGGUAGUCCACACUGUAAACGACUUAGUGGGGGUAGGAUGUAUUUAGCAUUCUGUGCCGCCGUUUACGCAUUAAGUAUCCCACGUGGGGAGUACGACCGCAUGGUUGAAACUCAAAGGAAUUGACGGGGGCCCGCACAAGCAGUGGAGUAUGUGGUUUAAUUGGAAGCAACGCGAAGAACCUUACCAGGAGCUUGACAUAAACAGGAAUAAGCUAGAGAUAGCUUAGCUCUUCGGAGUCUGUUUACAGGUGGUGCAUGGUUGUCAUCAGCUCGUGUCGUGAGAUGUUGGGUUAAGUCCCGCAACGAGCACAACCCCUGCUUUUAGUUGCCAGCACGUAAUGGUGGGAACUCUAGAAGGACUGCCGGUGAUAAAUCGGAGGAAGGUGGGGACGACGUCAAAUCAUCAUGCCCUUUAUGUCCUGGGCUACACACGUACUACAAUGGCCGCAACAGAGGGAAGCAAAAUAGUGAUAUGGAGCAAAACCCUAAAAACGGUCUCAGUUCGGAUUGAAGGCUGAAAUUCGCCUUCAUGAAGCUGGAAUUGCUAGUAAUGGCAGGUCAGCAUACUGCCGUGAAUACGUUCCCGAGCCUUGUACACACCGCCCGUCACACCAUGAGAGUUGGGAAUACCCGAAGCCUGUGAGCUAAC
This 1400-nucleotide ribosomal RNA is filed under the name uncultured bacterium. RNAcentral's name for it is "16S ribosomal RNA". It matches the Rfam family "Bacterial small subunit ribosomal RNA". The record is from RNAcentral.